This 2770-nucleotide ribosomal RNA is filed under the name Klebsiella pneumoniae. RNAcentral describes it as "bacterial LSU rRNA". It matches the Rfam family "Bacterial large subunit ribosomal RNA". Lineage: Bacteria; Pseudomonadati; Pseudomonadota; Gammaproteobacteria; Enterobacterales; Enterobacteriaceae. The record is from RNAcentral.
CACUAUCGUUAACUGAAUACAUAGGUUAACGAGGCGAACCGGGGGAACUGAAACAUCUAAGUACCCCGAGGAAAAGAAAUCAACCGAGAUUCCCCCAGUAGCGGCGAGCGAACGGGGAGCAGCCCAGAGUCUGAAUCAGCUUGUGUGUUAGUGGAACGGUCUGGAAAGUCCGACGGUACAGGGUGAUAGUCCCGUACACCAAAAUGCACAGGCUGUGAACUCGAAGAGUAGGGCGGGACACGUGGUAUCCUGUCUGAAUAUGGGGGGACCAUCCUCCAAGGCUAAAUACUCCUGACUGACCGAUAGUGAACCAGUACCGUGAGGGAAAGGCGAAAAGAACCCCGGCGAGGGGAGUGAAAAAGAACCUGAAACCGUGUACGUACAAGCAGUGGGAGCACCUUCGGGUGUGACUGCGUACCUUUUGUAUAAUGGGUCAGCGACUUAUAUUCUGUAGCAAGGUUAACCGUAUAGGGGAGCCGCAGGGAAACCGAGUCUUAACUGGGCGUUAAGUUGCAGGGUAUAGACCCGAAACCCGGUGAUCUAGCCAUGGGCAGGUUGAAGGUUGGGUAACACUAACUGGAGGACCGAACCGACUAAUGUUGAAAAAUUAGCGGAUGACUUGUGGCUGGGGGUGAAAGGCCAAUCAAACCGGGAGAUAGCUGGUUCUCCCCGAAAGCUAUUUAGGUAGCGCCUCGUGAACUCAUCUUCGGGGGUAGAGCACUGUUUCGGCUAGGGGGUCAUCCCGACUUACCAACCCGAUGCAAACUACGAAUACCGAAGAAUGUUAUCACGGGAGACACACGGCGGGUGCUAACGUCCGUCGUGAAGAGGGAAACAACCCAGACCGCCAGCUAAGGUCCCAAAGUCAUGGUUAAGUGGGAAACGAUGUGGGAAGGCACAGACAGCCAGGAUGUUGGCUUAGAAGCAGCCAUCAUUUAAAGAAAGCGUAAUAGCUCACUGGUCGAGUCGGCCUGCGCGGAAGAUGUAACGGGGCUAAACCAUGCACCGAAGCUGCGGCAGCGACACUAUGUGUUGUUGGGUAGGGGAGCGUUCUGUAAGCCUGCGAAGGUGUGCUGUGAGGCAUGCUGGAGGUAUCAGAAGUGCGAAUGCUGACAUAAGUAACGAUAAAGCGGGUGAAAAGCCCGCUCGCCGGAAGACCAAGGGUUCCUGUCCAACGUUAAUCGGGGCAGGGUGAGUCGACCCCUAAGGCGAGGCCGAAAGGCGUAGUCGAUGGGAAACAGGUUAAUAUUCCUGUACUUGGUGUUACUGCGAAGGGGGGACGGAGAAGGCUAUGUUAGCCGGGCGACGGUUGUCCCGGUUUAAGCAUGUAGGCUGGUUAUCCAGGCAAAUCCGGAUAAUCAAGGCUGAGGUGUGAUGACGAGGCACUACGGUGCUGAAGUAACAAAUGCCCUGCUUCCAGGAAAAGCCUCUAAGCAUCAGGUAACAUCAAAUCGUACCCCAAACCGACACAGGUGGUCAGGUAGAGAAUACCAAGGCGCUUGAGAGAACUCGGGUGAAGGAACUAGGCAAAAUGGUGCCGUAACUUCGGGAGAAGGCACGCUGGUGUGUAGGUGAAGUCCCUGCGGAUGGAGCUGAGACCAGUCGAAGAUACCAGCUGGCUGCAACUGUUUAUUAAAAACACAGCACUGUGCAAACACGAAAGUGGACGUAUACGGUGUGACGCCUGCCCGGUGCCGGAAGGUUAAUUGAUGGGGUUAUCCGUAAGGAGAAGCUCUUGAUCGAAGCCCCGGUAAACGGCGGCCGUAACUAUAACGGUCCUAAGGUAGCGAAAUUCCUUGUCGGGUAAGUUCCGACCUGCACGAAUGGCGUAAUGAUGGCCAGGCUGUCUCCACCCGAGACUCAGUGAAAUUGAACUCGCUGUGAAGAUGCAGUGUACCCGCGGCAAGACGGAAAGACCCCGUGAACCUUUACUAUAGCUUGACACUGAACAUUGAGCCUUGAUGUGUAGGAUAGGUGGGAGGCUUUGAAGCGUGGACGCCAGUCUGCGUGGAGCCAACCUUGAAAUACCACCCUUUAAUGUUUGAUGUUCUAACGUUGGCCCCUGACCGGGGUUGCGGACAGUGUCUGGUGGGUAGUUUGACUGGGGCGGUCUCCUCCCAAAGCGUAACGGAGGAGCACGAAGGUUAGCUAAUCCUGGUCGGACAUCAGGAGGUUAGUGCAAUGGCAUAAGCUAGCUUGACUGCGAGCGUGACGGCGCGAGCAGGUGCGAAAGCAGGUCAUAGUGAUCCGGUGGUUCUGAAUGGAAGGGCCAUCGCUCAACGGAUAAAAGGUACUCCGGGGAUAACAGGCUGAUACCGCCCAAGAGUUCAUAUCGACGGCGGUGUUUGGCACCUCGAUGUCGGCUCAUCACAUCCUGGGGCUGAAGUAGGUCCCAAGGGUAUGGCUGUUCGCCAUUUAAAGUGGUACGCGAGCUGGGUUUAGAACGUCGUGAGACAGUUCGGUCCCUAUCUGCCGUGGGCGCUGGAGAAUUGAGGGGGGCUGCUCCUAGUACGAGAGGACCGGAGUGGACGCAUCACUGGUGUUCGGGUUGUCAUGCCAAUGGCACUGCCCGGUAGCUAAAUGCGGAAGAGAUAAGUGCUGAAAGCAUCUAAGCACGAAACUUGCCCCGAGAUGAGUUCUCCCUGAGACUUUAAGUCUCCUGAAGGAACGUUGAAGACGACGACGUUGAUAGGCCGGGUGUGUAAGCGCAGCGAUGCGUUGAGCUAACCGGUACUAAUGAACCGUGAGGCUUAACCUUACAACGCCGAAG